Molecule: long non-coding RNA, 525 nt
Filed under: Cricetulus griseus (Chinese hamster)
Lineage: Eukaryota; Metazoa; Chordata; Mammalia; Rodentia; Cricetidae
Description: lncRNA (ENSCGRG00015030541.1)
Source: RNAcentral
AGCGGGCCGUGUGUCCAUGCAUGUGUUUACUUCUUGUUUGAAGCCCGAAGCGGCCCUGGAAACUGCAGACAGAGCUGGUGACGAGUUCUUCACCCAAGAGAGAAGCCAGAAGAAUCAUGUGUCUGGCCGUGGUGUUUAGGCCUACACGGCUGUCCAGGGAACAAUCAAAAACACCCACAUAGCUAUCACACUGAACGGAUAUGGCAGAGGCGGGGACACAAGUGUGACAAGGGCAGUGAAGGCCAACUUUAGACACCUGUGUCUUGGUGCCUCCAGGACCCUAACUCCCACAGCCCUGGUAACCCAACAGAACCUGAGUGACUCCAGGAAAUGGACGCCCAAUGGUUUUUCUGUUCAAGAAAUGAAACUCAGCCUCUACCCACAUCCUCCACCAAAACCAGGGCUUCCAUGUUGCCAUAACAACAGCUCUGGUAAGCUGGGCAGUUCAGGAGCCUCAGGAGUAGAGACUGUGUCUGGUUUCUGGAUGGCACUUAUCUCUGAAGGCAUCAGACUUCACUUUCUUUC